UCACUCUCUUGUUCUUCUGAGAUGGAUUUCUUCGCGACAUUUCCGGUGUAUCGAAGAAGCGCGUCGCGAUGGAUCAAGAAGGUUGUCGGAAGCGGUUCAUGUUCCGGCGGGUGUAAGCGGAAGGGCGUCGAUGAUGGAGAAGCGUCCGGGAAUCGGAACAAGAGGAGGAAUUCCCGGAGUUCUUCUCUUCUCCGUUGUUCGUUUCUCUUCGAGGGUCGUGAUUGUUUGUUAUAUUUGCGAGCAUUUUGGGUUAGCGAGCGCGUAAUCAAGUGGAAUUUGGACAUUGGAGGGCAAAAUCGCUGGUUUCACGUUGGGCGGUGAUGGAAUCAGAGGUCCUUUGGAUCUGGACGUCAGAGAUCUUGUCAAAAGCCAGUUAGCUGUUUCUUACUUGGGCACGGCCAAUCGAGGGAAUGCGGGUUGCAAUUACCUGGUAUCCUGGAUGAACUGCUCAGGUACUAUGCUAUUGGGUUCAGCUGGAGUGAAUCAUCUAACAAAGCUGGUAAAUGCAUGUGUCAGUUUGGUAAUAUUUGAGUAUUUAGAUACCGGUAUGGGAAAUGGAGCCAGAUUCAGCUGAAGGACAGGCUCAGAUUAGUGAGCUAUGAUCCUGUGCUCCGGGGAGUCCCUAAAGGAAGCUACGCAAAUAACCCAAAUGGUGCAUGCCUUAUACCGGAAUUUAGACAAAUGGUUCAGGUAAGCAUUUCUCCGAUAUUCUCUUCCAGGGAAAAAAUGAUGGCUAUAACUGGGGGUAGUUUCUUUCUAAGCAAGUCGCCUCCAUCGAAAAUUUCUUCUUUAGUGAAGGUAUGAUCAUGUGCACUGUGGAGUCCUAAAGGGAGCCAAGUAAUUUAGAAAAAUUGUUUUGGUAAGCAUUUUUCCAAUUUUCUAUUCCAGGAAAGAAACCGAGUUAAAAGUGUAUACUCGUUCUGGUGAUGGGCAUCUGUGACGAGGCUUAUAUUGAUGUAACAAUUCUAGUAAUUCAUAUUGUUUUUUUUUUAUUGUAUGGUUUGCUCUUUAUAGAUUAUUUUGGCAGACUCUAUACCAUAUUGGUCUCCGCAUUUUGCUAGAUGUUGUCUACAACCACUUGUAUGCAAAUGGGCCACAUGACAGAACCUCUGUUGUUGAU
Molecule: RNA transcript, 1120 nt
Organism: Tarenaya hassleriana
Lineage: Eukaryota; Viridiplantae; Streptophyta; Magnoliopsida; Brassicales; Cleomaceae
Gene name: pullulanase-like
Exons: 7
Source: RefSeq, a predicted model, not a curated record